This 437-nucleotide ribosomal RNA is filed under the name uncultured bacterium. Its description in RNAcentral is "bacterial SSU rRNA". It matches the Rfam family "Bacterial small subunit ribosomal RNA", at positions 29 to 511 of the family's 1533-position model. The record is from RNAcentral.
AGCGAACGCUGGCGGCAGGCCUAACACAUGCAAGUCGAACGAACUCUUCGGAGUUAGUGGCGGACGGGUGAGUAACACGUGGGAACGUGCCUUUUGGUUCGGAAUAACUCAGGGAAACUUGUGCUAAUACCGAAUGUGCCCUUCGGGGGAAAGAUUUAUCGCCAUUAGAGCGGCCCGCGUCUGAUUAGCUAGUUGGUGAGGUAACGGCUCACCAAGGCGACGAUCAGUAGCUGGUCUGAGAGGAUGACCAGCCACACUGGGACUGAGACACGGCCCAGACUCCUACGGGAGGCAGCAGUGGGGAAUCUUGCGCAAUGGGCGAAAGCCUGACGCAGCCAUGCCGCGUGAAUGAUGAAGGUCUUAGGAUUGUAAAAUUCUUUCACCGGGGACGAUAAUGACGGUACCCGGAGAAGAAGCCCCGGCUAACUUCGUGCCAG